RNAcentral lists this unclassified non-coding RNA (150 nucleotides) under uncultured fungus. Its description in RNAcentral is "sequence contains ITS1". Lineage: Eukaryota; Fungi. The record is from RNAcentral.
UUGAUUCGUGUUUCGAGUUCAGACACGGGACGGGAUCAGGCAUGGGUGCGGCGCCGAAGCGCCGAAGCACGUUUCGCUUCCACAGGUUUGAAGGGUUGAAGGCCAAAAGGCCAUUCAGUAAUGAUCCCUCCGCAGGUUCACCUACGGAGA